Molecule: transfer RNA, 75 nt
Filed under: Vicugna pacos (alpaca)
Lineage: Eukaryota; Metazoa; Chordata; Mammalia; Artiodactyla; Camelidae
Description: tRNA-Ala (AGC) (tRNA-Ala-AGC-117-1)
Rfam family: tRNA
About the family: Transfer RNA (tRNA) molecules are approximately 80 nucleotides in length.
Source: RNAcentral
GGAGUGGGUAUAGCUCAGUGGUAGAGUGUGUGCUUAGCAUGCACAAGGUCCUGGGUUCAAUCCCCAGUGCCUCCA